This 1231-nucleotide long non-coding RNA is filed under the name Sus scrofa (pig). RNAcentral's name for it is "lncRNA (ENSSSCG00070008395.1)". The record is from RNAcentral. Lineage: Eukaryota; Metazoa; Chordata; Mammalia; Artiodactyla; Suidae.
CAACUCAAACGAGGGGACAGUGUUGUGCUACCACGUGUCUAAUUCAAUUCCUGUCUGGUCGGGUGGCCCCAAGAUGAGGGAGAGAGACAGGCUGUCUGUGGUCUGAGUGUCCUUUGCUUGUUGGCAGGCAGACCUCUGGACCCAGAAACACCUGGCUUGAAUACUGGAGGUAUAGAUUUCUAGAAUCAGCAUGGCGGGGGGGUUGUCUCCUGGGAAGCUGGGCUUCAGGUCAUGAAUGGGGUGUGUCCGUGCGGUUGUAUUUGGGGGCGGGGGUGGACUAUGCUCAUGGCGGGCUCUGUCCAUCAGAAGGAGCCAGAGUAACUGGAGAGCCCCUCCCCACCAACACCUCUCCCCCCUUGUAGCACUGUGGCUGCGUCGCCAGGCUCAGACACGGGGUGCAAAAUGAUUGGUGGCCCAAUGUGCCUCAACUCAGAGAUGAUCCAGAUUCCACCAUCACGUCUUGGGUUCAUUCUCUGCAUGAGCGGGUAGCCCAAUGGCUAGAGAGUUUGAUAGGCGGCCUGGGGCCUGCGUGCCCUUUGCUUGUUUGAAGUACAACACUGGACCCAGAAAUCCCUGGCUUCGAUAUUGGGUAUGCAGUGGUUUAGCAUCAGGCUGGUGUGAUAAUUUGGCUUUAGGAGAUCUGGGCUUUGGGUCAUGAAUAUAACACAUCAGGCCACGGGUAUUGUGGGAGUGGGUCUCAGCCUCUCCCUGUGCCUUUCUCUCUAGAUAUCGCCACCUCCUCCUUCCUCCUGCUCCACCUGAGCCUCUGCUUCCUCUGCGGAGAACCUUGUGCCCAGGAAUCCACCUAAAUCCAGAUAUCGCCACCUCCUCCUUCCUCCUGCUCCACCUGAGCCUCUGCUUCCUCUGCGGAGAACCUUGUGCCCAGGAAUCCACCUAAAUCCAGGUAAAGUGAAUGAUGCCAGGGAGGUCGUGGAUCUCAAGCGAGGUGCCAGGGCUGAGGGUGCUGAUUGCUGGCAACUGGCCUCUGUUACCUUACCAAGCGGGGUGUCUGAUUCAGGGAGCGGGGUGGUCUCAUGUGGGGUGAGUGUCCUGGCCGACUUUGAGAUAGUCCUAAUGCCACCCAUCUGGCAUUUCAGUGUGCUGCAAGGGAGAGGAGUAAGGAAAUUGGGCUGGCAAGUGGCCCAGGCCAGUGCAGACCAGGCUUCUGCUAUGAGAGGCGGAGGAAGGGCUGAGAGUUGCUAUUAGAGCACAUGCCCACCAGCGGGCACCA